Molecule: long non-coding RNA, 539 nt
Filed under: Homo sapiens (human)
Lineage: Eukaryota; Metazoa; Chordata; Mammalia; Primates; Hominidae
Description: HSALNT0162730
Source: RNAcentral
GUUCUUUGAAUCAGGGCAAUCGCGGCGGUAGAUGAACUUGAUUAGGCAGACGCGUGAGAUCAAAGUGGCCGGGACCAAAGCGGACAGGGUCCAACGUGCCAGCACUGCCAAGAGAAGGCCUUUUGUACUCAGGUUAAAUAAGAACAUCCUGCAAGGAGUCUGUUCUUUUAUGCAGCCUAAAGAUCAAGUAAUAAUCAUUGACACUGAUACUGAGCAUGUCGAUUUUGAAGAGACUAGCAUGAACCUUGAAGAAUCAUGUUCUUCCUAGGAAUUACAAAUCCCCCGAUUCCAUGUCUAACAUAAUUUCUACUGGCCUCUUUGCUUCUCAUGCUUUAGUACCAGUGCUUCUGAAUUUGAAAGUCUUCAUGCAAAUUGCCCAGGUUUGCUGGCAGCUGUGUCUCAGAAAAAGCUGUCUUCAGCAAGGCAGAAGCAGGCUGGCAGUGCCUCCUAUAAAUAUUUAUUAAAAGCGGCAAGAUCACGGAGGUCUCUGGAGCGAAAUCACAGCCAGGUUUUAUGAAAACAGAUCCGAGAAGCUGAGA